GACGAACGCUGGCGGCGUGCCUAAUACAUGCAAGUCGAACGCAGUGGGGACGGGUGAGUAACACGUGGGUAACCUCCCAUCAGAGGGGAUAACACUUGGAAACAGGUGCUAAACCGAUACUGAUGGAUGGACCCGCGGUGCAUUAGCUAGUUGGUGAGGUAACGGCUCACCAAGGCCACGAUGCAUAGCGGCGAGGAGGGGUGGGGGUGCAACAAGGGGAAUGAGAAAAGGACCAGACUCCGACGGGAGGAAGGAGGCGGGAAUUGUGGGGAAUGGACGAAAGUCUGAACGAGGAUGGGGGCGUGAGGGAAGAGGGUGUUAGGAUGGUAAAGCGCUGGUGUUGGAGAAGCGGUACAUAACGAAAAAGCCCCGGCUAACUACGUGCCAGCCGCCGCGGUAAUAC
RNAcentral lists this ribosomal RNA (403 nucleotides) under uncultured bacterium. RNAcentral describes it as "partial 16S ribosomal RNA". It matches the Rfam family "Bacterial small subunit ribosomal RNA", at positions 28 to 526 of the family's 1533-position model. The record is from RNAcentral.